GAUGAACGCUGGCGGCGUGGAUAAGGCAUGCAAGUCAAGGGGGCCCGCAAGGGCAACCGGCAGACGAGGUAGUAAUAAUUAGGUACGUACCCAGAAGUCGGGCAUAGCUCGCCGAAAGGCGGGGUAAUUCCCGAUAAUCUCGCAAGAGCAAAGUUUUUCGCUUCUGGAACGGCCUGAUCGGUAUCAGCUAGUUGGUAGGGUAAAAGCCUACCAAGGCUAUGACGCCUAGGGGACCUGAGAGGGUGACCCCCACCGAUGGGACCGAGACACGGCCCAUACACCUACGGGUGGCUGCAGUCGAGAAUCUUCCACAAUGGACGAAAGUCUGAUGGAGCGACGCCGCGUGCAGGAUGAAGUUCUUCGGAAUGUAAACUGCUUUUGCCAGGGAAAAAGUUAUUGAUUGUACCUGGAGAAUAAGAAGUUGCUAAACUCGUGCCAGCAGCAGCGGUAAUACGAGUGCUUCGAGCGUUAUCCGGAAUCAUUGGGCGUAAAGGGUGUGUAGGCGGCGGUGUUAGUCUUGUGUUAAAUCCUUCGGCUCAACCGAGGGGCUGCAUGGGAAACGGCAUUGCUUAGAGGACGGAAGGGGUCACUGGAACUCAUGGUGUAGCGGUGAAAUGCGUUGAUAUCAUGGGGAACACCAAAAGCGAAGGCAAGUGACUGGUCCGCUCCUGACGCUGAAACACGAAAGCGUGGGUCGCGAAUGGGAUUAGAUACCCCAGUAGUCCACGCCCUAAACGAUGAUCUCUAGUUUUGAGGAGUAUCGACCCUCUUCGAGACCAAGCAAACGCGAUAAGAGAUCCGCCUGGGUAGUACGGCCGCAAGGUUGAAACUCAAAGGAAUAGACGGGGACUUGCACAAGCGGUGGAACAUGUGGUUCAAUUCGACGCUAAACGAAGAACCUUACCAGGGUUAGAAAUCCAGACGAAUACCAGCAGAAACGUUGGUAGUCGAAAGGCGGCUGGACAGGUGCUGCAUGGCUGUCGUCAGUUCGUGGUUUGAACUGUUCCCUUCAGUGGGGUAACGAACGCAACCCCUGUUGCCUGUUACAAGUGUCAGGCGAGACCGCCCAGCCCACAGUAUGUGAGGUUGGAAGGUAAAAACAGGAAAUGACAGUUAAGUUAAUUGAUGUUUUUCUUAUUUUACUUCUGCUCGCAUUUUGCGGGCUGGGAGGAAGGUGGGGAUGACGCCAAGUCAGCAUGGCCCUCUGAUACCCUGGGCUACACACGUGUUACAAUCGCCCAUACAACGGGACGCAAUGUCGUAAGACGGAGCAAACCCUUAUAAAGUGGGCGCCAGUUCGGAUAGAAGUCUGCAACUCGACUUCUUGAAGCCGGAAUCGCUAGUAAUCGCAGGUCAGCUAUACUGCGGUGAAUACGUUCUCAAGUCUUGUACUCACCGCCCGUCAACCCAAGGGAGUCGGAGGUGCCCAAAGUCUAGCCUCGCGCUGGCCUACGGCAAAUUCGAUGACAGGGG
RNAcentral lists this ribosomal RNA (1473 nucleotides) under uncultured bacterium. Its description in RNAcentral is "16S ribosomal RNA". It matches the Rfam family "Bacterial small subunit ribosomal RNA". The record is from RNAcentral.